GGUAAGUACGGGCCGGGAGCCGGGGGAAGAGGGGGGAGGUAAGCGUGGUCCGGAUUUGUUGGGCGGAAAGAGUUCGGAGGCGGGUGGUUAAGUCUGAUGUUAAAGAUCGGGGCCCAACCCUGGGAGUGCAUUGGAUACUGGCGAACUGGGGUGCAGUAGAGGCGAGUGGAAUUCCCAGUGUAGCGGUGAAAUGCGUAGAUAUUGGGAAGAACACCGGUGGCGUAGGCGACUCGCUGGGCUGUAACUGACGCUGAGGAACGAAAGCCAGGGGAGCGAAUGGGAUUAGAUACCCUGGUAGUC
Molecule: ribosomal RNA, 300 nt
Filed under: uncultured Listeria sp.
Lineage: Bacteria; Bacillati; Bacillota; Bacilli; Caryophanales; Listeriaceae
Description: bacterial SSU rRNA
Rfam family: Bacterial small subunit ribosomal RNA (bases 52-300)
Source: RNAcentral